Molecule: long non-coding RNA, 2640 nt
Filed under: Panax ginseng (ginseng)
Lineage: Eukaryota; Viridiplantae; Streptophyta; Magnoliopsida; Apiales; Araliaceae
Description: long non-coding RNA (PGIN_LNC016373)
Source: RNAcentral
UCUCUCUCCCCAUUUGAAGAACGCCAUUCUCUCUCCCCACCAGCAGACAAUAAUGCUCCAUCUUCUUCCCUCCCUCCCUUUCUCACACGAUAAAGUAGCAGACGGAAGAGCUCAUCGGAAGCAGAGGCAAACAGAUCGCUUUGUAUAAGGAUAUCUUCACUAUCAACAGUAUAAGGAUAUCUUCACUAUUGACGAUGAUUGCUUUGUAAGAUCCCUAUUCUUUAGUGCCCUUUUGAGAAUUGUUUUGUUUUUGCUGAGUUGUUUUGAUUUGGUUUUUGGGUUUUAGAGUUUGAUUUUAUGUUAUAUUUGUUCAAUUUUAGUGGGGAAGUGCUGAAUUUCGGUGGGGUUUUGAGUUUUAUUUUGAGAAAUUUGGUUUUGAUUCGUUUGAUUUAUGGAUAUUGUUAAAGUUUUGUUUUUUCAACUGGGUUUGACUUUGGGAGUAGGAUUGUGGUAUUUUUUGUUGAGCAUUUGUUAAAUUGUAGUGAUACUGACUUUUGGCGUGAUGGAUUUAACUUUUAAUGGGGUUUGAGUUUUUAGCUUUUUCUUUUUGGUACAAUGAUUGUUUUGCAAGCUAAAAAGGGUUUCAUGAAAUCCAAGCAACUAUGUUGCAAAGUUUAAACUGCUUCCUGUAUAUAUACUUUCUACUUUGUUUAUUUUUAUUUUUAUUUUUGGGCAUUACUUAUAUCUGUACUAAUUUACAUUUUAUUUGCUUUUUGCUGUGUUUCUACUCUCUCAUAUUUUGUUCAAUUCAGAGAAACCAACCGAACACUUAUUGGGAUGGCUCUUGAAAUUUACCUCUCGAGAAAGCCAAAUUGUUAACAAUUUAUAUUCAAAACAACAACACUUAAACCAGGCUUGUUGGUUUAGAAAGUAGUAUGGGUAAUGCAUAUAUCUCUGCAUAUUAUCAUACUUCAUUUAUACUGUGACAAAAGGAAACAAGAGUACAAGACUAAGUAUGCUAACUUCAGUUUAUAUUUGAGUAGCACUUACCUUUUUAACCUUUUUACAUACACUGUAAAAUUGUGGUAAUGAUAUAUUAUAACCACUUGAAUGAUUGUUAGCAUUAAUCCCUUAUAUAAGACCAAAAUUGUUUUGUCGUUACCUACUAGAAUGUCAUUAUAGCCAUGGUGUUUAUUCAAUGUGUUAUACAAUCAAGUGCAUUAUCUGCAAGCAGCAGGUACACCAAGAUGGCAAGUACUGUCAUACUUGUGCUUACACUAAAGGUAUUAGUUUACUUCUAAACUACUACUUGAGCACGUACAUUAAGUUACACAGAAAGUUGUACUUGUUAUCUGUAAUCAACUUUCCUCAUUUGUAUUGGAUACUGAAAAGUGCAUUAUUACUAUCACUUUUUUGGCAGUUCUGAGAAACUAGAAGAUUCAAAUGGAAGCAAUGCUGAGAUUUUGGAAUGGACCUUCCUGUUUUAAUUCAGGUUAUAUCCUGAUGUUGCUGGACCAGAUGAGGACUAGUGGUGAUCUGGAGAAAACCACAUCUUUUUGGAGCUCUCUGUAAUUGGUUUGAGACAGCUAUUGUUUGAAUGUUGAUGAUUUGUCAGCAAGUCUCUGUUUUCAAUUACAGAUAUUGUAUAUAAACAAGCUAUUCCACUCGGUUUUUGCUGUCUCUGUUUUGGAAUGUUAGUACAAUUACAGAUAUUGUAUAAAACUUUUGCUUGUGUUUUGGAAUGUUUGUUCCAUAACUCGACUUAAGUUAAUGCCGUAGAGUGAGAGCCCAAACGUGUUGGGUGGGAUUGAUCACAUAAUGGCACUAUUGGACAUUUGGAUUGCACCCAAAAAAGAGAAAACGUAUACAAAUUUAUCACACUACUAUUUGCUUGCUACUCAGUCUAUAUAUAGCUACCUAGUCCAGAGCAUAUGGAUCUCAACUCUCUCUCUCUCUCUCAGUUUCACCUUUGAUCAUUCCCAUUUGUAAUCUUUCAUCAUUGUCUUCCUCAAGUCUUAUUCACCCUGAUACAGGUACCCCAUUAUCUUCAACAUUGUAAUCUAUCUUUAUCACUUUAUGGGUCUCAAAGAAAAUAAUCAAUUUUGAAUUUUUCUCCAGGAGCAAUCAGAGUAUUUGAAGCAAAGUUCCUUCAAAGUUCAAUUCACUACUACUGUAAAACCAACAUAGUAGGAAAUCUCAUUCAAUUCACAUAUGUGCACAAAUCUCAUACAUAACGUGUUGGUUAAAGACUAAAAAUUAUUAAAAUUACAACCAGAAUGGCGUCUGCAGAUGCGGAGAGAGAAUGACGUUCUUCAAAUGGGGAGAGAAAAUCUGUAUUUUAAACUGAGUAUUGAGUUUUUGACCCGGGUGUGACCCGCGCGUCUUUUUUCUUUCUUUUUUUCAUUUGGUCCGUGGAAGAGGGCCGUUUUUGAAUGGCUCUCUCUCUAUAUCCAUUGUUCAUUUUCCCUAACAAUAGGUAGAUAGAUGAUGACAUGGAUUGAAAAAUCUAGCAUGUAAAAAAAUUCCCGUUGCCGCCACAGGACGAGGACGAGGACAUCGUCAAAUAGUAUUAUACUAAUGUUAAGAGAAAUAAGUGGAAAAAAUUAUGAGAGGAAAUUAAGCUGCGUAUCCAACUUUUCCAAGAAUCUUAAAACCUUCUCAAUCAAUCAAAUCAAUGUAUAUGAAUGUUUUCAAUUUUCG